CUUUUGCCAAAUCCAGCUAAAAACAGCUUAAAAAAUACCACCAGCUGACACAGGAAAAUAAUUUCAGUGAUUAAAUCAUCAACCAGAUCUUAAGGAAACCAAGCAGAAGCUAAUGCCUCAUCAUUAAUUCAACAUCAAAAUGGAGCCACCAUAUUCUACUCUUCCAUUCUGUUUUAUUGAAGAUCCUCAUAAAUUUCUGAAGGAGUGAAAAAGACCAAGUUUCUGAAGUGCUUCACUCAAUAGCUUAUGUGUUUCAUCAGAAAUCUUCCAAGGUAACAGUGUUAUGAUGAGAAUGGACUCAAGGUGAGCCAGGGGAGGCUCAGGUUGGGUAUUAGGAAAAAAUUCUUCUCAAACAGCAGCGAGGCGCUGGUCAGGCUGCCCAGGGAAACAGUGGUGUCAGCGUCCCUGCAGGUGCUCAAGAACCCACACAAAGAACUCGUGCCCACAGUACUGCCGCCCGACAGAACGAGAGCCAGAGCAAAGGAAACACCACGGCAGGACGCAACGUUCCGCUCCACCCAGCAGCCGGCGGGCAGCACUGCGCCUCCGCGGUAACAUCUGGCACCCCUACCCUCUCCUCCGGACUUGGAAGUGCUGAGAAUGAAUGGGGGAUUUGGGGAGGAAGGGAGGCUGAGUGCUGUCUGACCUGUGAAGCUGGACAAUUAUUUGCAGAUUCCUCAUAUCAGUGUGUUUGUGCAGUAGCCGUGGGUGAUCUUCCUGGCAGUUCACAAGCUCACAGGGAUAGGCAUGUGGUGAAAGCCUCCAAGCAUGAAAAGGGAGUGUACUAGAAGAUGACAAAGUACUGACACCCCAGCUCUCCUGCAGUUUUAUGAAGAAGAACUGUUAGAACCAGCCUGAAACAAGUGGC
Molecule: long non-coding RNA, 868 nt
Filed under: Phasianus colchicus (ring-necked pheasant)
Lineage: Eukaryota; Metazoa; Chordata; Aves; Galliformes; Phasianidae
Description: lncRNA (ENSPCLG00000015226.1)
Source: RNAcentral